RNAcentral lists this transfer RNA (67 nucleotides) under Cleroidea sp. 1 KM-2017. RNAcentral describes it as "tRNA-Val". Lineage: Eukaryota; Metazoa; Arthropoda; Insecta; Coleoptera. The record is from RNAcentral.
CAAAUUAGAGCUUGUAAAAGUAUUUUAUUUACAUUAAAAAGAAAAUUAUUAGUUUAGUUUAAUUUGA